Long non-coding RNA from Myotis brandtii (Brandt's bat), 371 nucleotides. RefSeq lists it as uncharacterized. The transcript is spliced from 3 exons. NCBI's taxonomy places the organism in Eukaryota, Metazoa, Chordata, Mammalia, Chiroptera, Vespertilionidae. The record is from RefSeq and is a predicted model, not a curated record.
CAGAGUGGGCUUCAUGCCCAUAGAGUUUCCAGCUCCCCUACGGUCUCAGUUACAGAUUUCCUAUAAACAGUUGCCUGAAGGAGAACACCCACAGCUCUCUGGGAAUGAGCAAUAAUCCAUAGCACUGGAAAGUUUUAAAAAAUUAACAUUUCUUCCAGAGAAAGCCAGAUCCACGGAAGCCAGAUGUACCGCAGAGUGGUGAUGUGGUAGGAAGUUAGACAUGAGCAGAGCAAGGAUGAUGGGCCAGCUCAGAAAAGCAGAAAAACCGGACCAGGAACUCUAAGGCUGACCUCAAGACCAGCAGCAUUGAAGAAUGACCCCCUGCCCUGGCGCUGACCAAUCAAUCAGUGGAGACCUAGACCCUGGAAGGA